GACGAACGCUGGCGGCGUGCUUAACACAUGCAAGUCGAACGGAAAGGCCCUGCUUUUGUGGGGUGCUCGAGUGGCGAACGGGUGAGUAACACGUGAGUAACCUGCCCUUGACUUUGGGAUAACUUCAGGAAACUGGGGCUAAUACCGGAUAGGAGCUCCUGCUGCAUGGUGGGGGUUGGAAAGUUUCGGCGGUUGGGGAUGGACUCGCGGCUUAUCAGCUUGUUGGUGGGGUAGUGGCUUACCAAGGCUUUGACGGGUAGCCGGCCUGAGAGGGUGACCGGCCACAUUGGGACUGAGAUACGGCCCAGACUCCUACGGGAGGCAGCAGUGGGGAAUAUUGCACAAUGGGCGGAAGCCUGAUGCAGCAACGCCGCGUGCGGGAUGACGGCCUUCGGGUUGUAAACCGCUUUCGCCUGUGACGAAGCGUGAGUGACGGUAAUGGGUAAAGAAGCACCGGCUAACUACGUGCCAGCAGCCGCGGUGAUACGUAGGGUGCGAGCGUUGUCCGGAUUUAUUGGGCGUAAAGGGCUCGUAGGUGGUUGAUCGCGUCGGAAGUGUAAUCUUGGGGCUUAACCCUGAGCGUGCUUUCGAUACGGGUUGACUUGAGGAAGGUAGGGGAGAAUGGAAUUCCUGGUGGAGCGGUGGAAUGCGCAGAUAUCAGGAGGAACACCAGUGGCGAAGGCGGUUCUCUGGGCCUUUCCUGACGCUGAGGAGCAAAAGCGUGGGGAGCGAACAGGCUUAGAUACCCUGGUAGUCCACGCUGUAAACGGUGGGUACUAGGUGUGGGGUCCAUUCCACGGGUUCCGUGCCGUAGCUAACGCUUUAAGUACCCCGCCUGGGGAGUACGGCCGCAAGGCUAAAACUCAAAGGAAUUGACGGGGCCCCGCACAAGCGGCGGAGCAUGCGGAUUAAUUCGAUGCAACGCGUAGAACCUUACCUGGGUUUGACAUGGAUCGGGAGUGCUCAGAGAUGGGUGUGCCUCUUUUGGGGUCGGUUCACAGGUGGUGCAUGGCUGUCGUCAGCUCGUGUCGUGAGAUGUUGGGUUAAGUCCCGCAACGAGCGCAACCCUUGUUCACUGUUGCCAGCACGUUAUGGUGGGGACUCAGUGGAGACCGCCGGGGUCAACUCGGAGGAAGGUGGGGAUGACGUCAAGUCAUCAUGCCCCUUAUGUCCAGGGCUUCACGCAUGCUACAAUGGCUGGUACAGAGAGUGGCGAGCCUGUGAGGGUGAGCGAAUCUCGGAAAGCCGGUCUCAGUUCGGAUUGGGGUCUGCAACUCGACCUCAUGAAGUCGGAGUCGCAAGUAAUCGCAGAUCAGCAACGCUGCGGUGAAUACGUUCCCGGGGCU
Molecule: ribosomal RNA, 1346 nt
Filed under: uncultured bacterium
Lineage: Bacteria
Description: partial 16S ribosomal RNA
Rfam family: Bacterial small subunit ribosomal RNA
Source: RNAcentral